CAAAUUAAAGCUUUAUAAUAAGCCUUUUAUUUACAUUAAAAAGACAACUGUGGAAUUCAGUUUAAUUUGA
This 70-nucleotide transfer RNA is filed under the name Hemisodorcus macleayii. RNAcentral describes it as "tRNA-Val". The record is from RNAcentral. Lineage: Eukaryota; Metazoa; Arthropoda; Insecta; Coleoptera; Lucanidae.